UCGUCCUCAUUAUGAUGAUUUUGAUUUCGACAGCGUAAUACACAAAACACAAAUUUAUAGUUGAUUAGUUAUCCUUCAUUGUCGGGUUCCAUGGCCUGCAUAACAUGUUCCCAUAGUCAAUAUCUGAAAGUGCACUGUUGACUGUUUAAACUUUGCAUAAUGUUAUACAGGUAAUUAUGGUAUCGCUAGUUCUUGAAUCUAUAAAUGCUAGGAUAAUUGUGUUGUUCCCAAUUAUAACGUUCUGAAACUACAUCUUACAUCACGUUUCACUCGGUUUCUUUUGUUCGUACCCGCGGAACG
Molecule: long non-coding RNA, 300 nt
Filed under: Mytilus galloprovincialis (Mediterranean mussel)
Lineage: Eukaryota; Metazoa; Mollusca; Bivalvia; Mytilida; Mytilidae
Source: RNAcentral